This 512-nucleotide ribosomal RNA is filed under the name uncultured bacterium. RNAcentral's name for it is "partial 16S ribosomal RNA". It matches the Rfam family "Bacterial small subunit ribosomal RNA", at positions 28 to 523 of the family's 1533-position model. The record is from RNAcentral.
GAUGAACGCUGGCGGCAUGCCUAACACAUGCAAGUCGAACGGCAGCAUGGCUAAGUGCUUGCACUUAGCUGAUGGCGAGUGGCGGACGGGUGAGUAACGCGUAGGAAUCUGCCCUUAAGUUGGGGACAACCCGGGGAAACUCGGGCUAAUACCGAAUACACUCUACGGAGGAAAGCUGGGGACCCGCGAGGGCCUGGCGCUCGAGGAGGAGCCUGCGUACGAUUAGCUAGUUGGUGGGGUAAAGGCCUACCAAGGCGACGAUCGUUAGCUGGUCUGAGAGGAUGACCAGCCACACUGGGACUGAGAGACGGCCCAGACUCCUACGGGAGGCAGCAGUGGGGAACAUUGGACAAUGGGGGCAACCCUGAUCCAGCGAUGCCGCGUGUGUGAAGAAGGCCUGAGGGUUGUAAAGCACUUUAGUUGGGGAAGAGAUUACAGAGUUUAAGAGAUACUGUAUGAGACAUGAACCAAAGAAUAAGCACCGGCUAACUCCGUGCCAGCCGCCGCCGUAA